This 497-nucleotide ribosomal RNA is filed under the name uncultured bacterium. RNAcentral describes it as "partial 16S ribosomal RNA". It matches the Rfam family "Bacterial small subunit ribosomal RNA", at positions 28 to 507 of the family's 1533-position model. The record is from RNAcentral.
GAUGAACGCUGGCGGCGUGCCUAAUACAUGCAAGUCGAGCGAACGGACGAGAAGCUUGCUUCUCUGAUGUUAGCGGCGGACGGGUGAGUAACACGUGGAUAACCUACCUAUAAGACUGGGAUAACUUCGGGAAACCGUAGCUAAUACCGGAUAAUAUUUUGAACCGCAUGGUUCAAAAGUGAAAGACGGUCUUGCUGUCACUUAUAGAUGGAUCCGCGCUGCAUUAGCUAGUUGGUAAGGUAACGGCUUACCAAGGCAACGAUGCAUAGCCGACCUGAGAGGGUGAUCGGCCACACUGGAACUGAGACAAGGUCCAGACUCCUACGGGAGGCAGCAGUAGGGAAUCUUCCGCAAUGGGCGAAAGCCUGACGGAGCAACGCCGCGUGAGUGAUGAAGGUCUUCGGAUCGUAAAACUCUGUUAUUAGGGAAGAACAUAUGUGUAAGUAACUGUGCACAUCUUGACGGUACCUAAUCAGAAAGCCACGGCUAACUACGUG